This 46-nucleotide non-coding RNA is filed under the name Schistosoma margrebowiei. Lineage: Eukaryota; Metazoa; Platyhelminthes; Trematoda; Strigeidida; Schistosomatidae. The record is from RNAcentral.
AUCUAGCUGACGAGUCCUAAAUAUGACGAAACGCGUGUCUCGAAAU